UGCGGACUGACUGCUAUCGGAUUGGUACUAAGCCAUGCGAGUCGUUGUACAAUACAAGGCGGACUGGCUCAGUAACACGUAGUUAACUUAACCUAUGGAUGGGCAUAACCUCGGGAAACUGAGAAUAAUACCCAAUGGACCACAGUGCCUGGAAUGGCCUGUGGUUGAAAUGAUUUAUCGCCGUAGGAUAGGACUGCGGCCUAUCAGCUUGUUGGUGAGGUAAUGGCCCACCAAGGCUAUAACAGGUACGGGCUCUGAGAGGAGGGGCCCGGAGAUGGGUACUGAGACACGGACCCAGGCCCUAUGGGGCGCAGCAGGCGAGAAACCUUUGCAAUGUGCGAAAGCACGACAAGGUUAAUCCGAGUGUCUCCUGCUAAAGGAGUCUUUUGUCAGUUGUAGAAUCACUGGUGAAUAAGGGGUGGGCAAGUUCUGGUGUCAGCCGCCGCGGUAAAACCAGCACCUCGAGUGGUCAGGAGGUUUAUUGGGCCUAAAGCAUCCGUAGCCGGUUGCAUAAGUNUUCGGUUAAAUCUAUGCGCUUAACGUAUAGGCCGNCGAAAAUACUGUG
This 565-nucleotide ribosomal RNA is filed under the name uncultured archaeon. RNAcentral describes it as "bacterial SSU rRNA". It matches the Rfam family "Archaeal small subunit ribosomal RNA", at positions 16 to 588 of the family's 1478-position model. The record is from RNAcentral.